GUCUUUGGCCAUACCACCCUGGAUAUGUGGGAUCUCCUCUGAUCUCAGAAGCUAAGCAGGGUUGGGCCUUGUUAGUAUAGUACUUGGAUGGGAGGCCAAAAUGCUGGGAUUAAAGGCA
This 118-nucleotide ribosomal RNA is filed under the name Propithecus coquereli (Coquerel's sifaka). Lineage: Eukaryota; Metazoa; Chordata; Mammalia; Primates; Indriidae. The record is from RNAcentral.